UAUGUCCUACGGGGGGCAGCAGUGAGGAAUAUUGGUCAAUGGGAGAGAUCCUGAACCAGCCAAGCCGCGUGAGGGAAGACGGCCCUAUGGGUUGUAAACCUCUUUUGUCGGAGAACAAAACCCGGGACGUGUCCCGGACUGCGUGUAUCCGAAGAAAAAACAUCGGCUAACUCCGUGCCAGCAGCCGCGGUAAUACGGAGGAUGCGAGCGUUAUCCGGAUUUAUUGGGUUUAAAGUGUGCGUAGGCGGUCCGUUAAGUCAGCGUUAAAAUUGCGGGGCUCAACACCGUCGAGCCGUUGCAACUGG
This 305-nucleotide ribosomal RNA is filed under the name uncultured bacterium. RNAcentral's name for it is "bacterial SSU rRNA". It matches the Rfam family "Bacterial small subunit ribosomal RNA", at positions 333 to 636 of the family's 1533-position model. The record is from RNAcentral.